RNAcentral lists this ribosomal RNA (274 nucleotides) under uncultured bacterium. Its description in RNAcentral is "partial 16S ribosomal RNA". It matches the Rfam family "Bacterial small subunit ribosomal RNA", at positions 523 to 796 of the family's 1533-position model. The record is from RNAcentral.
AUACGGAGGGUGCAAGCGUUAUCCGGAAUCACUGGGCGUAAAGGGUGCGUAGGCGGUUUGAUAAGUCUGAUGUGAAAUCCUAUGGCUCAACCAUAGAACUGCAUUGGAAACUGUCAGACUAGAAUACUGAAGGGGCAGAUGGAAUUAGUGGUGUAGGGGUAAAAUCCGUAGAUAUCACUAGGAAUACCGAAAGCGAAAGCGAUCUGCUGGGAAGUUAUUGACGCUGAGGCACGAAAGCGUGGGGAGCAAACGGGAUUAGAAACCCUAGUAGUCC